Molecule: RNA transcript, 9526 nt
Organism: Aedes albopictus (Asian tiger mosquito)
Lineage: Eukaryota; Metazoa; Arthropoda; Insecta; Diptera; Culicidae
Gene name: tachykinins
Exons: 10
Source: RefSeq, a predicted model, not a curated record
AGACUCCACCGGUGGUUGCUUUCAUUCGGUUGGAUUGCAUGCCGUUGGCAGCAUGUUCUAUAUUCGUGUUGUUCCUGGUUCUGGUAGACAGAAGAAAGAGUUUGAGUGAAUGCAACUGUGCAGGCGAUAGACCGAGCAAUUUGAAGUGGUGAACGUGCUAUUAAAAUUAACCUGAGGAUAUUCGUAGUGCAUAUCUUGGUCGGAAGAAUUGUGAAUUGCAGUGCGUAUUGAAAGCAAAAUGAAUAGCACUAGGAUAGGAGUUCUUGUUGUUUUCAUGCUGAAUAUAUACUUUAAUCAUGCAGAAUCCACCUCCGGAUUGGAAAUUUCAAAGAAUACCCGUGACAAACGCGACUACUAUUAUAGCGAAAACGUAGGGAAUUAUUAUUCAAAUUUUAAUGAGCCUGAUAAUGCAAUAACGACUGUAUUGCCUCUAAUGGACACAGAUGGCACAUCUAAAGUGGCCAACGAUGUACCCACUGAUAACGAAGGUGAUGAUGGAGAUGACGAACUAGUUUCGCACUCGAUCGACGAUGGAAUCCAUUAUUUUCGCAGCGAUUCAUUAAACAAUCGAAUCAGGCCGUUUUCCAGCCCCAUCAUAGAAGAAAGGCCAAACCAUGAUUGGAGUGAAGAUGAUGAUACUGAUAGCCACUUGGACGUUCGCGGAAAAAAGUUUAUUUCCUUCUAUCCCUUAAGAUUGUAUCCAAAGCGAGCUCCUUCCGGUUUCCUUGGCUUGAGAGGCAAAAAAUAUUACUACAACGGUGUAAAGCGUGUACCGUCUGGAUUCACAGUAAUGCGAGGGAAAAAAUCUUUGUAUGACAUGAGCAGCAAUAUUAACGAUAACUCAAACGAGUAUGAAUCAACAAAUGAUGUAAAUUUCGACGAUUUGUUUCAAAAAGAAAGGGCAUUUCUUAAUGAACUGUAUAGAAUCCAUCGAAUAUAUCAAGAAAAUAAGAAUAAACCCUUGAAUUCUGCUGUGCAAUAUGCCGAGAAAAGAGCACCAUCGGGUUUUCUAGGAAUGCGAGGAAAAAAAGCUGAAGCUAGCAGUACAUAUUCUGAAAAGAAACGAGCACCUUCUGGAUUUCUUGGAUUACGUGGUAAACGAGAAAGUAUAGAUGAUUAUAUGGAAGGCAUAAAACGAAGCCCGCUCACCAGUUACUUUGGAACACGAGGGAAGAAAGAACCAUUGAGUUUUGUAUCGAAAGCUUCGGGAUAUUACGGAAGUCGAGGGAAAAAGUACAAAUACCUCGGUAGUUUUGUUGGCGUCAGGGGAAAAAGAUGUUCGGAAAUGACGAAUUCUACAAUCACCUAGACGCAAUUGACUGGCCAAAUAAUGAACAGCGACUCCAAAUUAAUCGAACGCCUCCUAAACGGGUGCCAAAUGGGUUUCUUGGAGUACGUGGAAAAAAAUGGACAGAUGCACUGUACGAUGAAUAAAAUGCUUCAAUCACUCUCAUAGUAUACUAUAUAGCUGUACCUAAGGAAUCAGAAGUGAAAUUACUUUGAAGUGAACUUGCUCAAUUAUUUAUAAUAAAACUUAAUUUUCCUUCAGCGCGACUUAUCAGAUAGUGCAAAAAAAAAAUCUCCAUAAAGACAAGUAAAGUGAACGAAUACACGAUCAGAUUUGGAUUGAGGAUAUACGAAGAAAAUAAUUAACGAUAGUAGUAAUAAACGAAGUUACAAAGAAAAUCAUUACUUCAUUAUUUCAUUCAAUAUUAAAAAUUAAACAGGUUUUAUUUUAUAUCACAAUAAAUAAAUAGAAUCGUUGUUAAAACAUACUGAUGUUAAAUUCGUAUCAUGGUAAAAAAAUUUCAAAAAAUAUUUCAAUACUUCUUAAGUGCAAGCAAUUAAUAUGGGAAUAAUUUGAGAGUAUCUGAAAUUCCCUACAAAUAUUUACAAUGUUCUUGUUAAGGUACGUCGAGUUCAACUUUGCUUUGAUAAGUAAUAUGUCCAGAGAUGUAAGACACCAAAAUAUGAUGAUAUCGAUGAAACUUGUUGCAGAAAAAUUGAUCUCUGAAACAUGAUUUUUCUGCAUUUUCAUCAAAAGAACCCAGCUAAGUAUUAGAAAAAAAUAUCGAAAUACCUAAAUCUAUUAAGAUGUAAAGUGAACACAGAAAACAAACAUCCAAGUCCAGUACCAAAACUAUGUAAGGAAUUAAAUGUUCAUUAGAAAUGGCAACACAAGUGGCAACAUCGCACUUCGCACUAUGGGCAAUUUCCAAGGCAAUUUCCAUACCAGCAGGCGGACAAAAAUAUUUUUAUUAUUUGUUUUCGUUUUCUGGGGUCUAUACUAUCGGAAUGUUUUGUUGAUGUUCUUUUUCAACAUUUCUAGAUUAACAUUUCAAAAGGGUGUAUAUACUUGUUGAUUUAAAAUAAAUUAGAAAUAAAACGAUGCGAACUUUAGUUUGAAAUCAAUUAAUUAUGGUUUGUUCUCAGUUUGUACAUAUGCCACUGAGAAAAUAUAUGAAAAUUUUUGCUAUAUUAGCUUAUGUUAGAACUUAAUCACUUUAGCUUUCUAGCAUACACCCAUUAUGAUUCAAAACUAUUGGGAUGUGUUCAAUUCAUCGCAAAUUAAAACAGUCUGUUAAAACAUUUUUAUUCGUGCUAUUUUAAUGUUUAACCUCUCUUAUGGAUGUGUUACAUUUCAGUUCUGUAUAAAAACCUAGUGUUUUAAUCUCUUUUUUUAUAGUUUUUUUUUAGUAACCUUUUCAGUGAUAUUUUGUAAACAAUGGGUUUUCUCUCGAAAAAAGUUUCAACAGUUGAUUUAGGAUAAACCGAAUUUUCCGGCAUUAAGUACACCCGAUUCUUUUUUUGCACGGGUUGUUAUUUUGCUAUAACUCAGUCAAUUUUAACCCGAUCCUCAUGAAAUGUUGUACACGGAAAGUUCUAACCGUACCUACAUGUGUACAAAAUUUCAUGAGAAUUAGUUAAAAAUUGACUGAGUUAUGGCAAAAACCAGACCCGUUCAAAAAGGAAUCUGGUGUAAACUUUUUCGUUCAACUUUGACAUUUCAUAUCUCAGAAACGCAAACUGUAAGAGACUUGAAGCUUUGGGCUUUUUUUAAUUGUAAUGUUUACUUUUGGCAAAAAAAAAUCUUUCAAAAAAAAAAUUGGCAAGGAUCUUGUUUUAUUUUCGUCCGCCUGAUAUUUUAUCGUGGUGGCGCUGCUAUCGCAAAGUUUGUUGUCGGUGGUAAAUAUUAAAUGGAUCUAAAUAUGCGUACUCACCGCUGACUGUAGCAAUUUACCGCAUAGGUAACGCUAGUGUUGCCAACGCUGAAAAAAAUGAAUCCAUACACAGCUUUCGAAAAAAAAAAAUCUAUAGGCUCGGAUGUUUGUUCUCUGUGCUGUAAAGGUUUAGUAUCGGUAACUAAUGCACGGUAACAGAAUUCGCUCAUUUUCGAGCUAAAGUGAGUAAAUUACACUUCCAGUGCUAGUACUGGCCCAAGUGCUAAAAUCUCAUCAGCUUAGACCAUAUAAUAUUCUAGAUAGUCAAAUUAUACGACUUAAGCUGCACACAGAAAAAAAGUUACUCUAAAAUGAGCAAGAUUCACACAAACUUAAUAUAAACUAGAAUAGCUAAAAAAGGAGUGAAUCGUAAUUCCAGCGCUAGCGUUGGGCAGUGCUAAAAUCCAAUCAGUUUAAGACGUAUAUUGUCUAUACGGUUGGAAUCAAGACAGACAUUCAAUCAAGAAUUGCCAUUUUCUUGGCCCACAAGUGUCGCAAUAUUUUCGCGACCAGUGCGCAGUGUUGCCAAUGACAAGGAGAUAGAUGCGCACCUGAGACGAGACUUGCGAAGACGGUCUUCUUUUUCUCCAGUUUGUUAUUUUUUUCUUCUUCCUAUCUGUGUUGACAUUAUGUUUUGGGCUGGUGGUUCAAACACGUACGUGACCGCAUCACCUCGCAUGCAGUGUGACUGAAUCCCAUUUACGCACAAAAUCAUGUUGAGGUGAAAUUUUGCAUCGCCAACCAUCGCCAAGCUAAGUAAUCAUUGGAGUAUUUUGUGUUCAAUUUAUUUUUGACACUACAGGAGAAGAAAAUGCUGCUCGGAGUGAAUUUUGGCUUCAGAAUUUACCGUCAAGGCGCCAUUCACCGUGGGGGCUCCAUUCACCGUGUGCCUUCGAAUAUUUUUUCAUUAUUUCUAUAUUAUGAUUCAAUGAUAUGAUAGCCCAUAUAAGGGCCCAUAUAGCCGAGGCGGUAAACGCACGGGUAUUCAGCAUGACCAUGCUGAGGGUGACGGGUUCGAUUCCCGGUCGGUCCAGGAUCUUUUCGUAAAGGAAAUUUCCUUGACUUCCUUGGGCAUAGAGUAUCUUCGUGCCUGCCACACGAUAUACACAUGCAAAAUGGUCAUUGGCAGAGGAAGCUCUCAGUUAAUAACUGUGGAAGUGCUCAUAGAACACUAAGCUGAGAAGCAGGCUUUGUCCCAGGAGGACGUUACGCCAAGAAGAGGAGGAGGAGGAUUCAAUGAUAUGACAAUUUCCCUUCAAUUUCACCAAUACAACACUAAUGUAUUGUUACCAUGUCAAAACGCUCAUUAAAAACAUUUAAAAGUAUCAUUUUGACAUUAAAGUGUGUUUACAUGAAGCGGGUUUCUGCUCGUUCUUUGCAUUCAUGGUGAAAAAACGAAAACUGCGCUAAGGUGAUUUAAGCGAUGAACUAAAUGUAGUAACGUUUUUAUUCCACCAAGAAGCAAUUAAAUUCACAUAGCAGGUAUGUAUUUUGCAUUACCGAAGUAAGUUUAACAAGAAAGUACGAUUACUCGUACUUUUUAAUUGAAACCAAACAGGCACGGUAAAUGGGUACCCUAAAAAUCAAUGGUCUCCAUUCACCGUGCCCCAUAUUGUCCCAUAUAUCUAGAAAAAACCGAAAAUUUGAAAAUUCGUUUUUUCAAUAAAAUCUUGCAAGUUAUUACUUGAAAUGAAUUUAAACGAAGAAAAUUCCCUUGGCUGGGCUGUUUUGAUCAUUUUUAAACAAAGUAGAAUAAAAUUUUUCAUACACGGUGAAUGGGUCCCUACUACCACGGUGAAUGGUGACCUACCACGGAAUUAGGCGACCCUACUACCCUUUACUAAUUGCACUAUAUCACCAAAUUUUGUGAAAAAUUUUCUACUUCUGUGAAUUUUACUUUAAUUUUAACCUAUAAUGAAGGCAAUUAAAAGCGGCACCAAUAAUGUUUAUAGGACUGGUGUCAAAUGACAGCCCUUAUUUGCCCCGAAUCCUCUUAAAUCCACGGUGAAUGGUGCCUUGACGGUAUCUCGAAUAGCAAUACUUUCCUCAUUUUAGGUAACGUAAUCAAACGGGCUACAACUGACAGCUCAGUUGAGCUACACUUGACCUUUUUUUCCUCUUCGCGAGUCUCAUCUCAGAUGCGCACUACUUCCAAACUGAUUCAGAAAACGUCGCGAGUCGGGUCGCGUCGCAACUCAGUUUACGACGUCCGGUUUGGUGGUCCGACAAUAAUAUUUUUGGCAUCGCAAACAAUAGAGGUAAUAAACUAUAGAGGAAGAAUGUCGCUGGCGUCGCUGCCGAAACAUCUCUUGCUGGCGGAGAUAGGUCGGGCUAUAAGUGUCAAAGCGAAAAAGUAUGCAGUUUGACAGAUAGAUACCCGACAUGUUUGCGAGCGAGAACAAAGGGAACAGCAGCGACAUUCGUCCUCUAUAGUUUAUUAACUCUAUUUCGCAAACAAUAUUAUAUUAUCAAGUUUAAACUGAUGAGAUUUUCGCACUUAGCCCAGCGCUAGCGCUGGAAGUGCAAUUGACUCAUUUUUUGCGUUGUCCCACUUUAGCUCGAAAAUGAGUGAAUCAAAGUGAGUAACAGAAUCCACUCAUGUUUGAGCGCAAGUGGGACAACACAAAAAAAUGAGUAAAUUGCAUUUCCAGUACCAGCGCUGGCCCAAGUGCAAAAAUUUCAUUAGUAUGCCGUAUAAUAUUCUUGACAAUGUCAAGAAUAAUGUACCGCCUCAACUGAUUGGAUUUUAACACUUAGCCCAGCGUUUGAAAUACAAUUCAUUAUUUAUUUUUUUUUUUUUUUUUUGAGCUGUUCUAGUUUAGCUCAGAUAUGUGUGAAGCUCUCUCAUUUAAGAGUAGGUUUUUUUAAGCGUGGGGAGACAUUAUUUAUGGUAAAAAUAAAGGUCGUACUUUGUACUCAUGGUGCUUAUUUUUCCGUUUUAAGUAUAUGUGUUUUGAAUAGAAAGAAGUAUCUUCACUAUUGUAACGAGCUGAUGCAAUGAUUGGGACAGACAAAAUUUUCACUUUUCAAAAAAUUUGAUGACCAUUUCAAAAAAUUCAAAAAAUGUCACAUUGUUACUGUAAGUUGGCCUAUCAGUUGUUAAUCAAUGGUCGAAAUUUGGGAAAGAUCGGGAUGAGUUCUACAUGAAAUUAGAAAGAUUCUAGAAAAAGGCGUAAUUAUCCGAUAGCCACACGAUCAGAAAAUUCAUUCAUUUUUGAGAUGAAAAAAAAAACACAAAACAUGAGUUAAUUGCAUUUCUAGCGCGAAAAUCCAAAUGCGAAAAUCUCAUCUGUUUAAGCGAUAGUGAUAAUGUAAAGAAUAUUUUAUGGCUUAAACUGAUUGGAUUUUCAUACUUAGGCCAGCGCUAGCGCUGGAAAUGCAAUUUACUAUUUAUUGUAAGCUCUUCCAUUUCAACUCAGAUUUGUGUGAAUCUCGCUCAUUUUCUAACUUUAUUUUAGCGUGCAACUUUAUCGCCAGAUUCAAUGAACCGAGUGCAAUGAAAUUUUUAACAUUCACGACUUAUAUCAUGAGCUGCGUUUUUGAUUAAGUGUUUUGUAAUAUAUAUCUCAGCCGUCUGUCAACCGAUUUGGGAUCUCUUAGCACCAAAUGAAAGCUAAAAUGGCCUAGUAGAACCCUUCUUCUUCUUCUUCUUCUUCUUCUUCUUCUUCUUUAUGGCUCUACGUUCCCACUGGGACUUGGCCUGCCUCGCUUCAACUUAGUGUUCUUGGAGCACUUCCACAGUUAUUCAUUGAAGGGCAUUCUUUGCCUGCCAUUGCAUGAAUUUGUAUAUUGUGAGGCAAGUACAAUGAUACACUAUGCCCAGGGAGUCGAGAAAAGUUUCCCAAGUGGAACGGUAAUCGAACCCGCCAUCUCCGGAUUGGCAAUCCAUAGCCUUAACCACUAGGCAAACUGGAGACCCAGUAGAACCCUAUAAGAUUUCAUUAUGAGUGGACAUUUGGUCUGUCAAUCGAUUUGGGAUCUCUUAGCACCUAAUGUCCUAGUAGAACCCUCUAAAACUUGACAACGAUUGGACAUUUGGUUAUCGAGAUAUCUUUCGAGGAGUACUUGAGAGUAAUACAACUAAACUUUUUGAGAUUUUUGACAAAGUGCGUCAUAAUAUAUUUCAGCCGUCCGUCAACCUGACAUGAAUGAAAGCUACAACAUCGUUGUAGAACACUUUGAAAUUUGAUUUCAAUUGGACAAUUAGUUAGCAGGAUUUAGAGAGGAUUUUGACUAGUUGUAUCAUUUUAAAUAUCACAGCUGUCUGUCAACCGAUUUGGGAUAUCUUAACACCAAAUGAAAGCUACAAUGUCCUACCCUACUAACAAAAGUAGCUGUAUAACAGCUUAUAGUAUAAACACCUUUGGAAGAAAGCUCUAUUAAACGCUUAUACAGCAAAAAUUUUAGUUGGGUAGUAAAACCCUAUUUAAUUUCAUUACAAUUGGACAUUUGGUCUCUGAGAUAUCUUUCGAAAAGUACUUGGGAGUGAUACUACUUAGUUUUUGAAAGAUUUUUGAUCAAAUGCUGCGUAGCGAACCACUUGGGCAGCGGCCGGUAUUUUGGGCACUCUGCGCUGUAACUCAGUCAAUUCUAAACCAAUUGACUUGAAAUUUUGUACACGGCUAGAUACUAUACAUAUCUCAUCGCGUUUCAAAAAUUGUGUCAAUUGGUUUAGAAUUGGCUGAGCUAUAGCAGAAAAGUGCCCAAAAUAGAACCCCUGCCGAGAUGGUUCCACUUCCCUAUAAUAAUAAAUAUCUUAGCUGUCUGUCAACUGAUUUAGAAUCUCUUUAUACUAAAUAAAAGCAACAACAUCCUAGUAGAAGCCUAUCAAAUUUUAUUACGAUUGAACAUUUGGUUACCGAGAUAUCUAUGGAAGUACUGGGAGCAAUACAGCUUCAUUAUUUGAGAGAUUUUUGACAAAUAAUAAAUUGAUAAUAAAUUGCUCAGCCGUAGGUCAACCGAUUUGAGUUCUUCUACCACCAAAUGAAAGCUACAACAUUCUAGUAGAACGCUCUUGAAUCUUAUUUGGAUUAACAUGUGGUUACUGAGAUGUCUUCCGAAAAGUACCUUCAAUAAAUUCCUUUUUUGUUAAUAUAUUUGCUUGCUAUCUAACAUGAGCUUUAAUAAUCAUGCAAAUAGCUCUAGGUCGAAUUGAAGAUCACUUACACAUCAUAUAUGUAAAUACUUAGGAAUAAAUAGGAAUUCUAUGAAAACUAACAAUAUGUUCAAUAAGAGCAAAUAAUUUAUAUGUUGUGGGAAAAAUGCAAGAACUGGACAAAAAUAUUUUUAAUAAACUUUGCAGAUUUAGAUCGCAAUAGUCAAAUAACUUACUAAGGCAAAAGCUGAUUAACAUAGUAGAUGUAUCAUUUUUGACGUUUUUAUACCUUAACCACCAAGAACUUCGGAGAUAAUUUAUUCAACUGAUUUUUUUAUCCGUUUGUUAAUCGAUUCAAGAUCUUUUGCCAGUUAACAAAUGAUAUAAUAUUGCACAAUAUGUUAGCUAUUUUUUGAGCAUUCCAUACAAGAUUCUAGAAGAAUCAUACAAAAUAAUUAUGUUAAACACGAAUAACGCAACCAUAAUUUCAAUAAGUGUAAGAAGGGUUCUUCAAUUUGUUACCAGAUAUUUUGUCACCUCCUUUCGAAACAUAUUUAAAUUCAAGUCAAUUUGAUGGAAUACAACUGAACUAUAAUUACCUUCUUCAAUAUUAAAUGUUGAAGUUUUGGCUAAAUUGAUGAUUUCUUAGAAAAAUAAUCUUAUCGCUAUAAAUUUCUAAACGCUCAAAUUUCAUUAAAUUCGUUUAAUGUUUCCGAAGGAAAACCGAAGGAAUCCGAAGGAGAUAUAACUGUUCAAAAUUGGCUAUUGGAUAUUAUGAACUAUAAACUUUUAUAUAUUUAUUAUAGUUAAAUUGUAAACUAGAAACUAAUUAUAAAAUAAACUGUAAAAAAGCCAGAUCUCUCCCAAAUUUAGACCAUUGAUAGAUUCUAGUUGACCAACUUUUAGUAAAAUUGAAGAUUUUUAGUACACUUUUCGGAAAAGUUACAGCGAGUUGACCAUGUUUUGAAAAGUGGAAAUUUUGCCUGUCCCGUUCGUUUUGUCUAUCCCCUGUAGAUGCACAUAAAGAAAAAUACAACUUCAUUCGUGUUUUCGGUUUUUGGUGGAAUCAUUAUUACAAUGUAUUGAGAACAUAUCACCAAACAAUUGUAAAUUAUGAAAACAGCGCUACCUGUAUAAUAUAAUACUAUGCAAAAUAGAUAUAAGUUGCAAAAUAAAGCUGGCUAACUGACUAACUAAAUAAGCCACGUGA